GCCUUUUCUAUAUCCACAGUCCACAGAUCUCUCUUCCGAGCUUUGCGAAUUGUAAUUAUUUAUGGUGAUCGCGAAUUUAAUGCCAGGACACAUGUUCAAUUUUCUUUUACCCGUUCUAUUCUAUUUGCCUGAUUAAUGGCGUAUAUUAUCGCAUUGAUUUCAGUUUGCAGAGUUGAUUAGCGACAAUCUCUCCCAGCAGAUGGGCAAUUCCUUUGUCCUUUGGAUAAGGCUCUGGUUAUUCUCCAGACUCGAACCUGAACGGCGGCCUUGGGGCUAAAAGUCUUGCUAUGGCUAGGGCUGAGAGAUCAGAUCGAAGUACAAAGGACUUCUGUCAGUGAAGCUAAGCUAGAAUACCAUUUCUGAAACAGAGAGGAGUUGCGGAGCCUUCAACCCAAUGCGAGGGUUUUACAGUGAGUUCCUUUAUCACGCCUUUCCAUCUGGCUGGACAUCGUUCUUUCACUCCCAAAAGGUAUCUAACCCCAUCCUUUUCCAUUUAAAGAGCACUGCCAUGUGAGCUCUUCCUUUUUGGAUGACUUGCCACCUUAUGUGUAAGCUUUUUUUUUUUUUUUUUAUCAAUUUCACCUUAGGCCUAAAACUUAGUGGCAAAAAACUGAAAGGAGUUCUUUUUAAUUGCAUGAAAGUAAUCAACAAAUUCAAGGUAUUCAAGCAUUUACAAGGAAAUGGAACAAGAAGAAGAAAUAUUUACAAAAUUACUGAGCAUAUUGUCAUUAUUUGAGAGACAAAUUAGAUUGAGACAGAUACAGUAGUAGCAGUAGCUUUAGUAUUAGCAGUACAACUCUAACGUGAAUAGUCCUCUUUUUCUUUGAUAGGCGGGAAGGGUCCUAAUUUCUGGAUUUAGAAUGAUGGAACAAUGCCAUAUCCACCACCGCCAACACUGUUGUGGAAAACAUUUGGUCGACUUCAACUUCUACUUCUGUUCUCUUUGCAAAUCGGCCUUUGAUCCGGGGUCUGGUUUCUGCAUAGGCCUUCCUUGAGGCAUACCUGAUUGUCUUCUCAAACUUCCGUGUCUUCUUCUUCUCCCUAUAUCUUAGUACUCUAGCCUCCCUGUCCAUUGGAGUAAGUUGGGAAGCCAUCUGAAUCGGAGGACUCAAGAAAAGGUCAAUUGUUCCCUUGGGGGGUCUUGGAUGAGAAAUUGAGACGUCACUCACUGUGGAUUCUGGAACAAGGCCCACAUCCAGUGAUGAGACUGAGACCUGGUUUUACAAUCACAAAUACAGAAUUUUAUAUACAACAAAAGAGGAGAGCAUACUUCGAGGACACAAAUCUAUUGCAUUUUGGAACAAAUGCAUGACAAGAAAUACUAAUUCAUAAUGUGGGGGAACCUUUUAAAUAAAAAGGUUGUCAAUUAGACAUGUUUUGAUGUAGGUAAGGAAUAGAAGGAACUCUUAGUGGACGGGUCAAGGACUAUAACUGCCUUGUAAUUGCCUUAAAAUGCUUGUGGAAAAAGCUUGAAUUGAAUUAUCACUUAAGACGUGUCAAAAGGUGAAAGGGAAUAUAGACCCAAAAUAGUAAGGGAGAGGGGGAGAUGAAAGAAAAAAGAAAAACAGCUAGCCAGUAGAUUCGGCCUUUUUGAGGAGAAAGGAAAGACGAAUUGGAAAAAGAGUUGAUAAAGUGAAGAAACUAUCUGUAGAUGCCCCUCGAAUCCUAUCCUUUAGGAGUAGUUGAACAUAGAACGCAACUAUUAUAUGAUCCAUGUAUAGCACACAUUACCCAGAUUUAUUUUUUUAUUUUUAUUAAAAAAUAAAAGUCCAAAGAAACAAAAUACAGAGAAACACCAAAAAAAUAAAAUAAAAUCUGCGACAUACAUGAAAAGCUAUAUUUUAAGAAAAAAGUUGGCUUUUGAAGGCAAAUAGCUCCAAGUCAGAAGGUAACAGUAAAGUACACUUUCUGGCAAAUCUGGAUCUCGUAUUACUAAACAAAGCAACAAAAACGUCACUUAAAUCGGCAAGCUCUGUCUUUCUGCAUAGAGAGAAACAGGGACUAGAAACCAAUUCUCGAUUAAAUUUAAAAUUAAACAAGAAAGAAAAAGAAAAACUUGAGAGCUGGAUUUGAAGUAUCUGAGCAAAAUUAGUUCUUUGCACAUGGAAAACAGCAAGUGGAAUGUCAGGGACGACCAUCAGAGGGCAGAUUUUGAAGUUAGUUUGGUUAAAAGUAUUUCCAAUUGGUUGUUAGCAGUUCAGUGUUUUUGGUAAACUGAUGUAUUGGAAGCUCCUACCACAAAUUCAACAAAGACCCAUAAAACUACCUAGUAAUAAUAGCAUAUACAAUUGAAGUUUCAAUUAUCACUGAUGUGGUACUUGGAGAACUUACACUGUGACUAACUGAAGCAGGGUAACCAUAUCCAAUUUUUGAGGCCUCGUACUCCAUCCCGAGCUGAUAGCUAUGGGCCUGCUGCUGCUGCCACUGCUGCUGGAGCUGACACUUGGCCUCUCCAUUCUGAACUGAUCCAGGUACUCGUCAACCACCUCUCCACCGAACAGGAACCCAUUGUUGUGCUGGUUAGGAUUGGGCUUGACAGGAUUAAGCAACAGCCAUGAAGCUGCUUCAUCUUCGUCUUCUUUUUCAAUAGUCUCAUCGUUUUCCGGGGCCAG
This is a long non-coding RNA of Diospyros lotus (date-plum), 2612 nucleotides long. RefSeq lists it as uncharacterized. The record is from RefSeq and is a predicted model, not a curated record. Lineage: Eukaryota; Viridiplantae; Streptophyta; Magnoliopsida; Ericales; Ebenaceae. The transcript has 4 exons.